This 588-nucleotide long non-coding RNA is filed under the name Pongo abelii (Sumatran orangutan). RNAcentral describes it as "lincRNA". The record is from RNAcentral. Lineage: Eukaryota; Metazoa; Chordata; Mammalia; Primates; Hominidae.
AGUCAUUCUGUGGAACUUCCUCUGUGUCUCUCAUUGGAGCCGCCUAACUUCCUCUCCCACCACCCUUCAUCAAAGAGCAGUCUCAUGCCCAGGAGCUAGAAACGUAGGCUUUGCAGAAAUUGUUUGAGCUGUGCUGGGCCCUAGGCAGCAAUGACUCAAACUUGACCCUUAACCCCCAGGCAGGGGUCGCCCUCCCUCCCCGUCCUUAAGUGGGGCGGGCACCUAGCCCAGGGUGGUGAUAUGACCCAGUCCUAGCCAAUCACCAUGGUCCCGCCUCCUGGCUACCACAAUUGGCUUCAGGGAUGAGCACAUGGCCCAUAGCGGCCCAAUGAGAGUCAGCCCUGGGUGGGAACUGGUGGGAAAGAAUUCUGCUGGAGCAUCUGGAGUUGCUCAAAUGGAGUGGCUGCGGCCAUCUUUCCUUCCACGUGGGAAGGAAUCAGCCUGAGAAUGAAACCAUCACAGGAAAGGUCUGAAAGACGGCAAGUUUUCACUGGGUCUUACCCCACGUGAGCCCCCACUCCUCCAUAUGGACCUGUUUUGGACCAAUGAGGCAUCCCCUUCUGUAGUCCUCAACACGCGGAGCUCCAC